Lytechinus variegatus (green sea urchin) is the source of this 1914-nucleotide long non-coding RNA. RefSeq lists it as uncharacterized. The transcript is spliced from 2 exons. Lineage: Eukaryota; Metazoa; Echinodermata; Echinoidea; Temnopleuroida; Toxopneustidae. The record is from RefSeq and is a predicted model, not a curated record.
CAUGGGAAUCUGAUCUGCUCAAUUUUCUGCACAAAUGAGACGAAAACUGGGUAAAAUUGACGAAUAUUUUCGAAGAUACGAUGCUUAGAAGAUUAGGUGGUCGAUAAGGGGUAGUUCCAACCAUACCGAGAGCGUCAUUUUUCGAGAGCGUCAUUUUUGACAGACAUAUUUUUCUGGACAAGUGGGCAAACCUUUCAAGGUAUAUCUUAAUAAAGAUGAAUUUUUGGAGCAGAAGGCUGAGAGCCUUCGUAACUUAGACAUAUGUCACCAGGGGUCUCGAGAUGAGGCAUCCUUGAUCUUUUAUAAAGAUCAUAGUAUUGUUAGGAAUAAGACUUAAUGUUAACAGAUGAAUAUUAUUUUCGGAUCUUAACUGAUUAUAGAUCCUUGAUCUUUAUAGGACAGAUAGUUGAGAUUAGGAUUUUGGUGAGUUCCUGAUAGUUCAGGCAAUGUUGUAAAUAUGUAAAUUAUUCUAUUAUCUAGGAUGCCUCCUAGGAUAAAGGCAGUCAUUUUCUAUUUCGAAUAAUCAGAGCCUUUACUCCUUCUGAAAUAGACAUGUAUAGUUAAAGUAGAGGGAUUAUUAGGGAUGUAUUGAUUUAUCAAUACAAUCUUUUCAUGAGACGAUUAGGUUUAUUGGUUAGUUUUCUUUGAAAAACAAUAAGGAAAGAAUCCUUGGAGGAAUUCGGAUUAUCCUUGGAUUUAAGUUUGUUUAUAAAGAUGACAAGUAAGUUCUGAUAGUUGUGAUAGGAAGGAAUGUAAGAAUUUGAGACUGUCCUAUCUAAAGACUUGGGUUAGUAAAAAGUGAAAUGAUAAGCCGACAAAGUGAGCUAUCAUUGAAUACUUUAAGGGCGGAUAGGCCAGUUUGGUAAAAUGACCCGUUGAGCGGUGACUCUGUUGGAUUGAAGUUGAAAGUCAGUUUAUUUGAGCGUUUUAGCUCAGGAUAAGGAAAGAGUUUAGUGGAUGGCUAAGGGCCAAGUUUUAGAAAGUGAUAGAGAGGCUAGACGUAGCCGAGAAUAGAAUUUCUUUUCAUACUUUUUGCUGGAGUGAUAAGUAUAUUUGUAGGAAGGAAACUAGUACAGUUCGAUCAACUUACUUUGAUCUGUCUCAUGAUAGUAGAGAUUUAGAACAUAGAUAGAAUUUAAGACAUAUUACUUGGUUUUUAAGAAUAUUUAUUGUUGUCAUAUAGAAAUGACGACAAGUACUUUGAAUAAAUUAUGACGACAAAACAUGGUCAUGAGGUGUCGUCUGUAGAUAUUGUACAUAGUAUACAUAGAUCAAAGAAGAAUUUAUUGAACAGAACACAACUUGAUAUUGGCAACAAUGCCUAGCUGUUAGUUAAAGUUUAUUAAUAAAGAAUUACUUGUUAUUGAUUCAGUUGAACAAUUACUGAAUACAGAGUUAUUUAUUUUACUAGAGUAACUGUCUGGUGUGAACGUUAGUUACAGAAGUGACAACAAUGAUUGGUACAUUUACUUCUACUCGAGAUAGCAAAUUUAGAAAAUGAGAUCAUUUAUAGAACGAAAUCACUUUUCCAUGUCAUUGUGCCUUAGAUUGCUCGCUACCGAUUAUGAAGAGUUAGCACGAGAGACUGUGAGAGAGAGACCUUUAAUGUAUUGAGUUGUAGUAUAUUGUUUUGGCAAGUUCGACUUUGCCAGUGAGGCACUGAGUGUGCGGUGUUGCACGUGUGUGCUAUGCUGAAUCAUGAGUUGUUGUUGAUGAAUUAGAUUAUUGGUGCACGUUUUAGUGUGCAAAAUUACUAGUUUGCUUGUCUUGUUCGAUGGUGAAUUCUUAGAUUAAUUUAUUAGUAAAUGAUAGAAUCAUGCAAUGUUUCCGCUUACCAGAAUUGUUGCAAUGAGGCAGAUUUCUGAGAAGAUGCUGGAGAGCAUGUGAAAUAGUGUACACGAAGGAAGGUGCAAA